This 328-nucleotide ribosomal RNA is filed under the name uncultured eukaryote. Its description in RNAcentral is "partial 18S ribosomal RNA". It matches the Rfam family "Eukaryotic small subunit ribosomal RNA", at positions 1470 to 1795 of the family's 1831-position model. The record is from RNAcentral.
CCCUUAGAUGUUCUGGGCCGCACGCGCGCUACACUGAUGCAUUCAACGAGUCUAAAACCUGCUCUGAUAGGGGUGGGUAAUCUUCUGAAUGUGCAUCGUGAUUGGGAUAGAUGAUUGCAAUUUUUCAUCUUCAACGAGGAAUGCCUAGUAAACGCAAGUCAUCAGCUUGCAUUGAUUACGUCCCUGCCCUUUGUACACACCGCCCGUCGCUCCUACCGAUUGAAUGAUCCGAUGAAUAUCAUGGAUUGAGGAUGCAAGUAGGUUCGCCUAUCUUCAUCUUCGAGAAGUGAAGUAAAUCUUAUCAUUUAGAGGAAGGAGAAGCCGUAAC